This 248-nucleotide long non-coding RNA is filed under the name Triticum aestivum (bread wheat). Its description in RNAcentral is "long non-coding RNA (TAES_LNC013720)". The record is from RNAcentral. Lineage: Eukaryota; Viridiplantae; Streptophyta; Magnoliopsida; Poales; Poaceae.
AAGGAGCUGACUUAACUCGAGAGUCUUGUCCGAACGGAUGCCAGUUUUAAUAAGGCUCAGCUUUGAAAGCUGUGGUACAAAACCAAAAUACAACGGAUACUCAGAAGAGAACCAAUUAUCAUAGGUCAACCGUUGGAGUUUUGGUAGACAUAUCAGCUCAACUCUCUGAAAUUUCCCCUGGUCGACCUCAAUCUCAACAAGUUGAUCAUGUUCUACUUGCAGCACAGAAUGGAACCCUGAGUCACAAC